Molecule: ribosomal RNA, 450 nt
Filed under: uncultured bacterium
Lineage: Bacteria
Description: bacterial SSU rRNA
Rfam family: Bacterial small subunit ribosomal RNA
Source: RNAcentral
AACGAACGCUGGCGGCAUGCCUAACACAUGCAAGUCGAACGAGACCUUCGGGUCUAGUGGCGCACGGGUGCGUAACGCGUGGGAAUCUGCCCUUGGGUUCGGAAUAACAGUUGGAAACGACUGCUAAUACCGGAUGAUGACGUAAGUCCAAAGAUUUAUCGCCCAAGGAUGAGCCCGCGUAGGAUUAGCUAGUUGGUGAGGUAAAGGCUCACCAAGGCGACGAUCCUUAGCUGGUCUGAGAGGAUGAUUAGCCACACUGGGACUGAGACACGGCCCAGACUCCUACGGGAGGCAGCAGUGGGGAAUAUUGGACAAUGGGCGAAAGCCUGAUCCAGCAAUGCCGCGUGAGUGAUGAAGGCCUUAGGGUUGUAAAGCUCUUUUACCCGGGAUGAUAAUGACAGUACCGGGAGAAUAAGCUCCGGCUAACUCCGUGCCAGCAGCCGCGGUAAU